UGGACAUAUGAUCUGCAUCUU
This 21-nucleotide small nuclear RNA is filed under the name Arabidopsis thaliana (thale cress). RNAcentral's name for it is "snRNA_01079". The record is from RNAcentral. Lineage: Eukaryota; Viridiplantae; Streptophyta; Magnoliopsida; Brassicales; Brassicaceae.